AACUUAUGCGUUUUCAAACUAAAACGCAUUAGUGUAAACAGGGCCUAAAGCUAAGCAGGGCUGAGCCUGGGCAGUAACUGGAUGGGAGACCACAUGGGAAAACUAGGUUGCUGUUG
RNAcentral lists this ribosomal RNA (116 nucleotides) under Danio rerio (zebrafish). The record is from RNAcentral. Lineage: Eukaryota; Metazoa; Chordata; Actinopteri; Cypriniformes; Danionidae.